CCCCGUGACUGCAGCUCAUCCUCAUCUCCCCACUCCAGACAGCAGAGGAUGGUACAUAAAUGGAGCUGUGAUGAAGACGUUGCUUACUUAGACGAAGUUCAAACAGUUCUUCAAGGCAAGCGAUGGACUCGGCCAAAAAAUGAUUUACAUCAAAUGAUUGCGGUAAGGUUGAAUACGAGAUUUAAUGUGAUGAACUUCGACUUCAAGAUCGUUAAGGAAAAGUAUUAUGCUUUUAGAAACCAGUGGAAGACCAUGACAAUAAUUGACCCAAAUAGAAAGCUGGUUACUUCAAAAGGGCGACCUAUCAAUGGCCAUGAAGAAACGAUCAAACUCUUGUUCAGUGGUGAUGUAGGCACAAGUUCAGAAACAUGGAGGGACAGGUGUGCCCGACGUACCUGAAGCUGAACUACCUGAAGACUUAAAAAAGAAACCACCUCAAGAGUGACAGACUUCCAGUGAUAUCUGAAAGAGGGGGAGCUCAAAGAGGGGUGGAGACGUCUGAGCAAUAUUGGGAAGUACCUGAUCAGUGAGGGUGACCUGCAGUGGGGCAAUGAUCAGUGCCCAAAACUUAAUGUAGUAUUCUUAGUUUGCUGAAGUAGAAGUCUAAUGAACCAGUACUUUGUAGUACUCAUGUUGCAUGCUUCUCCUGUCAUGUGAACAAUUAAACUUGGUCUGUAAUUUUGCUUGUCCUGUGGUGACAAGUUGUUGAACUUGGUCAGAAUUUCUGAAUGUUGAAUUUGGUUUCC
Molecule: long non-coding RNA, 746 nt
Organism: Sorghum bicolor (sorghum)
Lineage: Eukaryota; Viridiplantae; Streptophyta; Magnoliopsida; Poales; Poaceae
Exons: 4
Source: RefSeq, a predicted model, not a curated record